Molecule: long non-coding RNA, 1347 nt
Filed under: Marmota monax (woodchuck)
Lineage: Eukaryota; Metazoa; Chordata; Mammalia; Rodentia; Sciuridae
Source: RNAcentral
CACAUUUAGAAUCUGAUUUACUCCAUUUCGGUCCCCAUUCCCCCUUCCCCUCUCCUCCCCCAUCGUACUCUACCAAUCUUCUCUUCACUCAUUUAUUUAUGUAUUUUUGGUUGGUGCUUUCUACAUAAAGGUGAAAUUCCCUGUGUUACCUUUAUAUAUGCCCAUAACAUGAUCUGUCACAUUGAGUCCACAUUUCUUUCCCUUUCCCAUCCCUCCACCCUCCCUCCAUCUCCUCCUCCUCCUCUUCUGAUCUUCUCUAUAUACUUACUAUACACAAUUCCCCCAUACCACUUUCUUUCCAUUGUUUUACUCUAGCUUUUACAUGUGAGAGGAAACAUUGAACCCUUGAUUUUCCGAGUCUGGCUUAUUUCACUUAGCAUGAUGUUCUCCAUUUCCAUCCGUUUGCCAGCAAAUGUCAUACUUUCAUUCAAAAAUUCUGCAUGGCUGAGUCAACCCCAUUGUGAACACACACAUUUUCUUCAUCCGUUCCUCUAUUGAUCCCCAUUUUAAUUCUUACAUAUAGCAUCUAAAUUAUUCUCACAAAUGAAAGUUUUCAUCAUGUCACAAUGAACAUGGGGGUAUGUUCCAAACCCCAUGUAAUCCUCAUUGGCUAAAACCCACUCAGGAUCACCAAGCCUGGGUACCCACACAACCUCUUCCUUUACCCUCAUUGCUACCUUUCUUGCACUCACCCUGUUAUCCAGGCUGGCUGAUUUUCUCAUCCCUGCCUGUAAACACCCAUCAUUUCCUACCUACCCUUGGGCCUCCUUGAUAUUAUUAUUAUUAUUAUUUAUAAUUUAUUUUGCCUGAUAUACCUCAUCCCCACUUGCCCAAAGACUGCCUGUCUCUUGGAUGCAAUUCAAAGGACUGGUCUGCUGUGAAGUGUCCCUGAUCCUGGCUGAUCCCCACCCCAGCUGGUGUAACCCACCUCCGAAACCUCCCCUGGCACUAAACCUCUAGUCUGCACUCACAGCAUUUGUCAUCUCCUAAUAAACUAUAAACCCUAUGAGCGCAGAGUCUCAGUCCAAUGUACUCCCCACAGUUCCUUUCCACAGUUGUCUCAAAAAGAGGUGAGCCAGUGAACAGGUGGACAAGACGUGGGGCUAUGGUAUGAACGGGUCCCCUGAAGUUCAUCCGUUGGAGACUUUAUCCUCAGCGUAUCAGAGUUGGGAGGCCAGGCCUAAUAACAGAUGAUUAGGUCUCGAGGGCUCCUCCUUCUUGAAUGGACUGAUGCUGUUUGUGUGGGAGAGGUCAAUUGUCAUGAGAAUGGGUUGUUAUUAAAGCAGGUUUGGCCCACAUUUGCCCUUCCACCUUCACCAUGGUAUGACACAUCACAAAGGCCCUGGC